AUUUAAGUCUUUGUAAAACGUUUGCAUUUUCUGUGACUUUAUAGUUAUUGUUCAUGCUAAUUAUACAAGCUAUGCCAAUAUAAAGUCUUUGUUUUCAUUUUUAGAUCCGGAUCACAUACACAGGAGUCACUCAUUGAAGAUGAAUCACAUGGUUAGGCUGGACAGGGAUCUUCGAAUAAUUGAGAGACACCAUGGUGUAAAACGAAGGUGGCUCCCUUCGGAUGGCAUUUUCCAGAGAACACUGAGAGAUGUUGACCAGGAACUUAGAGGUCAGCUGAUACGACGAGCACAAAAUGAAGCAAGGGAGAGGGCCACUCUUCUCAACCUGAAAAGAAGAUGUAAUGAUGGACAGGGAGUUGUUAUAAGGCUGUCCAAGCAAGUGAAUGCCUGUAACAGGAAACUGAAGAAGAUUGUUACAGAGUACAAUAAUCUGCAGUGGCCUCCACAAACUGGCAUCUUUCCAUCACAUUUAGAAUUUUGAGAAUUGUGUGAUGCCUCCUCCCAGCUGUACACAUUGUUUGAUGAAGAAAUUGAAGAUCAUGGUGUUGUUCCAAAGAACCUAAAAAGUCGAGCAAUAGAAGCCCUGCAUUUGAAGACUAGAGCAACUGAAGAAAAGCUUCUACUUAAGAGAGAGAUGAACACUGUCAUUCUUCACCUUCAUCAACAACAUGGACAUUUAAGUUCAGCUAUAAAUGAUACUGCAGAUCCUGGUUCAAAAGCUGUACUUCAUCAAAACAUUAUCAUGUUAGAAAAGAAAAUGUACAGUGCAAUGAACAUGUUCAAGAGGUUUAUCGAAGUUGGUGCCCCUCCUCCAAAUCAUCACCUACCAGAGUUUAACUCUUAUUCUCAAGCACUUAUGUCUCCAGAUCUAUAUUACAUAGACUAUGAUGAAAGCAUUGACGAUGGAGAGGAUGAAGCAGAUGAUGACGACAAUGUUGACGAAGGAGAGAACAGCAUAGAUUGUGAAUCAUCUUCAUGAUUUAUGGCCACUUACUGUUCUAUGUGAAGAGCACAUAUUCCAGUAUAAAAAGUUCAUUGAUGAUUUUCAUAUAAGCUUUUUGUUCUAACAUCUCAGUUUAUUGUUUUUGAUAUUGUUGAGACAUAUCUGUUUUUUAAGUCAAGCUAUAUAUAAUCAAGGGCAUUUUAAUUUUACUCAUUACAGCUUUGUAGUCUUUUUCACAUUUAUUAAUGUUCUUGUUCAGUAUGACAUUGUUAAUGACUAAACUUUAUUUACAGUUUGAAUUUAACUCUUAAUCUUGAGAUGCUGCAUAAUCUGCUUUACAUAAUAUCUUUAAAUUUGAGCACAACAAUGAAAUAACUAAAACGUAGUGGACAAAUAUUUUGUGAUGUUGAUAUUUGAGAAAUAUUUGACUGUUAUCCAAGAAUUACAUUAUUUUGAAGGGCACUACUCUGUAUUAAAAAUUCAUUAAGAGCUA
Gambusia affinis (western mosquitofish) is the source of this 1436-nucleotide long non-coding RNA. RefSeq lists it as uncharacterized. The transcript has 4 exons. Lineage: Eukaryota; Metazoa; Chordata; Actinopteri; Cyprinodontiformes; Poeciliidae. The record is from RefSeq and is a predicted model, not a curated record.